UUUAGGCUAUGAGGCUUCCCUUGGUGAUGUUAACAUUAUAGUUGGCGGGGCCUUCGGAGUGGUCGGUCAUUCCAGUGUCGGGAUAUAAUAGGAUAUGCAUCUCUUUUCAUGACUGCAUGGUUCAGUUCUAUGAGUGCCUGUUUACAAGGAUAGGACUUUGGCUACCCUUUCCCAAAUUCGAGAUAGAUGUCCUUAAACAUUUGAAGAUUAC
Molecule: long non-coding RNA, 211 nt
Filed under: Lathyrus oleraceus (garden pea)
Lineage: Eukaryota; Viridiplantae; Streptophyta; Magnoliopsida; Fabales; Fabaceae
Description: Pisum sativum (pea) long non-coding RNA (PSAT_LNC005357)
Source: RNAcentral